GCUUGGGAGAAGGCUUGGUUGUAAUCGAAGGAGAGACGUCUUUAAUAGCACCGGUAACUCUGCCACGCCCGUACAGGUGCAGCUUACCGGAAUCACUGGGCGUAGUGUAGGGGUAAGUCGUUUAAAGACCAACUACCUGGAUGGACUGUUCUGACGACGGGGAGUGGAAUCUGUGUACGGUGAAUGCGUAAUACAGAGAACACCAUGCAAGGCCUGCUGUGGGGAGCGAACCGGAUUAGAUACCCGGGUAGUCCACACCCUAACGAUGUGUUGGUGAUUGCAAUAACGCGAUAAAACGCCUGGGAUCGGCCGCAAGGUAAAAAGGAUGACGGGCGCAAGCGGUGGAUGGGUUAAUUCAACAGAACUCGCUGACGGGCGGUGAUGC
RNAcentral lists this ribosomal RNA (385 nucleotides) under uncultured bacterium. Its description in RNAcentral is "partial 16S ribosomal RNA". The record is from RNAcentral.